RNAcentral lists this unclassified non-coding RNA (207 nucleotides) under Hevea brasiliensis (rubber tree). The record is from RNAcentral. Lineage: Eukaryota; Viridiplantae; Streptophyta; Magnoliopsida; Malpighiales; Euphorbiaceae.
UAUAUCCUAGUUUUGCUGCAAUAUCUGUAUGAUAGAAACGCUCACUGUCAGACCUUUCGUAGACUAACCUUAGAGAUUUAGACAGUUGUACAGAAUAGCAAAUUCUCAAAUGCAUGCAAAAAUAACAAAAUCACAUAAUGGACAGUGGACACAAAUCUGAAGCAUAAGUGUUGGCACACUUACUUUCAAGAGAAACCCUAGCGUUGG